CAGUAGCCGCGGUAAUACGGAGGGGGCUAGCGUUAUUCGGAAUUACUGGGCGUAAAGCGCACGUAGGCGGAUCAGAAAGUCAGAGGUGAAAUCCCAGGGCUCAACCUUGGAACUGCCUUUGAAACUCCUGAUCUUGAGGUCGAGAGAGGUAAGUGGAAUUCCGAGUGUAGAGGUGAAAUUCGUAGAUAUUCGGAGGAACACCAGUGGCGAAGGCGGCUCACUGGCUCGAUACCGACGCUGAGGUGCGAAAGCGUGGGGAGCAAACAGGAUUAGAUACCCGGGUAGUCCCUGUCUCUUAUAA
Molecule: ribosomal RNA, 301 nt
Filed under: uncultured bacterium
Lineage: Bacteria
Description: partial 16S ribosomal RNA
Rfam family: Bacterial small subunit ribosomal RNA
Source: RNAcentral